RNAcentral lists this non-coding RNA (100 nucleotides) under unclassified sequences. RNAcentral describes it as "L4-Archaeoglobi ribosomal protein leader". It matches the Rfam family "L4-Archaeoglobi ribosomal protein leades". The record is from RNAcentral.
CUGAUGGGCGCGUCCGGGUCAAUUGCGGAAUGCAACACCCGAUCUCCCUUCCCGUCCCCACUGGGAUGCAAGUACGGGAAGGAGAGCGUGUCGCCGUCAG